UAGUUCGGAUCCAAUAUUUUU
This is a non-coding RNA of Caenorhabditis elegans, 21 nucleotides long. NCBI's taxonomy places the organism in Eukaryota, Metazoa, Nematoda, Chromadorea, Rhabditida, Rhabditidae. The record is from Ensembl.